RNAcentral lists this ribosomal RNA (422 nucleotides) under uncultured archaeon. RNAcentral describes it as "partial 16S ribosomal RNA". It matches the Rfam family "Archaeal small subunit ribosomal RNA", at positions 323 to 746 of the family's 1478-position model. The record is from RNAcentral.
CUACGGGAUGCUGCAGGCACGAAACCUUUACAAUGCACGAAAGUGUGAUAAGGGAACCCCAAGUGCUCAUGUUUAACAUGGGCUUUUGCUAAGUGUAAAAAGCUUGGAGAAUAAGUGGUGGGUAAGACUGGUGCCAGCAGCCGCGGUAACACCAGCGCCACGAGUGGGAACCAUGUUUAUUUGGCCUAAAGCGUCCGUAGCUGGUUUAUUAAGUCCUUUGUGAAAUCAUCAAGCUCAACUUGCUGAAUGGCAGGGGAAACUGUUAAACUAGAGACCGGUAGGAGUCAGGGGAAUUCUAUGGGGAGCGGUAAAAUGCUAUAAUCCUUAGAGGACCACCUGUGGCGAAGGCGCCUGACUAGAACGGAUCUGACAGCGAGGGACGAAAGCUAGGGGAGCGAUCCGGAUUAGAUACCCCCGUAGUC